ACGAACGCUGGUGGCGUGCUUAACACAUGCAAGUCGAACGGAAAGGCCUCUUUCGGGGGGUGCUCGAGUGGCGAACGGGUGAGUAACACGUGAGUAACCUGCCCUUGACUUUGGGAUAACUUCAGGAAACUGGGGCUAAUACCGGAUAGGAGCUCCUGCUGCAUGGUGGGGGUUGGAAAGUUUCGGCGGUUGGGGAUGGACUCGCGGCUUAUCAGCUUGUUGGUGGGGUAGUGGCUUACCAAGGCUUUGACGGGUAGCCGGCCUGAGAGGGUGACCGGCCACAUUGGGACUGAGAUACGGCCCAGACUCCUACGGGAGGCAGCAGUGGGGAAUAUUGCACAAUGGGUGGAAGCCUGAUGCAGCAACGCCGUGUGCGGGAUGACGGCCUUCGGGUUGUAAACCGCUUUCGCUCAUGACGAAGCUUUGUGUGACGGUAGUGGGUAAAGAAGAACCGGCUAACUACG
RNAcentral lists this ribosomal RNA (464 nucleotides) under uncultured bacterium. RNAcentral's name for it is "partial 16S ribosomal RNA". It matches the Rfam family "Bacterial small subunit ribosomal RNA", at positions 29 to 505 of the family's 1533-position model. The record is from RNAcentral.